UGUCCUUAUUUGCCAGCACGUAAUGGUGGGAACUCUAAGGAGACUGCCGGUGACAAACCGGAGGAAGGUGGGGACGACGUCAAGUCAUCAUGGCCCUUAUGACCAGGGCUACACACGUGCUACAAUGGGACGUACAGAGGGUUGCUAAGCCGCGAGGUGGAGCCAAUCCCAGAAAACGUUUCGCAGUCCGGAUCGAAGUCUGCAACUCGACUUCGUGAAGUCGGAAUCGCUAGUAAUCGCGAAUCAGCAUGUCGCGGUGAAUACGUUC
Molecule: ribosomal RNA, 268 nt
Filed under: unidentified gamma proteobacterium groupE
Lineage: Bacteria; Pseudomonadati; Pseudomonadota; Gammaproteobacteria
Description: partial 16S small subunit ribosomal RNA
Rfam family: Bacterial small subunit ribosomal RNA
Source: RNAcentral